GGCCCAGGAGUGAUAAGCGUGAACUAGAGAGUGCUGUGCAGGAGGAAGCUGGGGCCGCCGUCGGGCCUUCUCCCUCCAGGGGCCCAAGAGCCACUGGUACUCAGUGUCUGGGUGGGGGCAGGGGGGAUUUUUGUUCUCCCAGCACCUGCGGCUGUUGAGACCAGAGAAGCUGGUGGUCGACCACAGCCUGGGGUAUUAGUUCACCCCUAGCUUCUCCCCAGCGAGACCCCAGGGCCCUUGGGCACAGGGGAUUAAGCCUCUAUCUGCUUACGUGCAAGCGGAAGAAAUAGGCCCAGAGAGCAACAGUGGCGGGUCUGCAGUCACACAGCCAACUUGCGCUUGUGGCAGUGGCAAGGUUGGUGAGUAUCUGAGUCUUCAGGCCACGGCAUUUUCCGCUCGAGUGGAGCCUGAAGUUCUGAGGGUACCCCUCACUCAAGCUCCAGGCGUCAGGAAAAGAACAUUCCACGAAGUCCAUCUGGAAGACGGUCCUUUCCCUGCUGCCCCCAGGUGGAUGCCAACUUGGGCUGGGGCCAUCUCCAAGGUGUCCUCCCUCUCACGGCCUGUGCCUGGGCUGGGAAGAUGUGAGCAGAGGUGAACUUUACAGGUGAGGCUCCCCGGGCACCUCUCCAGCAUGGUGAGGUCAGGGUAGCUGGUCUUCUAACGUCAUCUUGGGGCUCCUAAGUUGUGUGCCUCAAGCCAGGCAGAAGCUGUCACACAUUGUCCCUUUUACUACAUUCUAUUGAGGCAGCUAUAAAAAGUUACAAAGGGGGCCGGGUGUGGUGGCUCAUGCCUGUAAUCCCAGCACUUUGGGAGGCUGAGGUGGGUGGA
This 828-nucleotide long non-coding RNA is filed under the name Homo sapiens (human). Its description in RNAcentral is "HSALNT0387311". Lineage: Eukaryota; Metazoa; Chordata; Mammalia; Primates; Hominidae. The record is from RNAcentral.